CAGUCGCCGCGGGAAUACGAAGGGGGCUAGCGUUGUUCGGAUUUACUGGGCGUAAAGCGCACGUAGGCGGACUUUUAAGUCAGGGGUGAAAUCCCGGGGCUCAACCCCGGAACUGCCUUUGAUACUGGGAGUCUUGAGUUCGAGAGAGGUGAGUGGAAUUGCGAGUGUAGAGGUGAAAUUCGUAGAUAUUCGCAGGAACACCAGUGGCGAAGGCGGCUCACUGGCUCGAUACUGACGCUGAGGUGCGAAAGCGUGGGGAGCAAACAGGAUUAGAUACCCGCGUAGUCCCUGUCUCUUAUAC
This 301-nucleotide ribosomal RNA is filed under the name uncultured bacterium. Its description in RNAcentral is "partial 16S ribosomal RNA". It matches the Rfam family "Bacterial small subunit ribosomal RNA", at positions 509 to 807 of the family's 1533-position model. The record is from RNAcentral.